UGAGCCAAGUUUAGGGUUUUCUCAAAACCCAAGCAGUAUUGAACUGAAGAGUUUGAUCAUGGCUCAGAUUGAACGCUGGCGGCAGGCCUAACACAUGCAAGUCGAGCGGAUGAAGGGAGCUUGCUCCUGGAUUCAGCGGCGGACGGGUGAGUAAUGCCUAGGAAUCUGCCUGGUAGUG
RNAcentral lists this ribosomal RNA (178 nucleotides) under Pseudomonas aeruginosa. Its description in RNAcentral is "partial 16S ribosomal RNA". The stretch from base 41 to 178 matches the Rfam family "Bacterial small subunit ribosomal RNA", at positions 1 to 138 of the family's 1533-position model. The record is from RNAcentral. Lineage: Bacteria; Pseudomonadati; Pseudomonadota; Gammaproteobacteria; Pseudomonadales; Pseudomonadaceae.